RNAcentral lists this unclassified non-coding RNA (223 nucleotides) under plant metagenome. Its description in RNAcentral is "partial contains small subunit ribosomal RNA, internal transcribed spacer 1, and 5.8S ribosomal RNA". The record is from RNAcentral.
UUUCCGUAGGUGAACCUGCGGAAGGAUCAUUAUCAUGUAAUUCAGUCCCCUUGGCUGUGUUAUAUAUAUACCCACUCUGUGUACCCUCUCCUGUUGCUUCCGCUGGGUGUGUAAUUCGCCCGGCGGAAGGGUAAAAAUAACCUCUGAGUAUUGAUGAAAUCUCUGUCUGAACCGAAUAGAAAGAAAAAUGUUAAAACUUUCAGCAACGGAUCUCUUGGUUCUC